This is a regulatory RNA element of Gasterosteus aculeatus (three-spined stickleback), 45 nucleotides long. It matches the Rfam family "Histone 3' UTR stem-loop". Rfam says of the family: The mRNAs of metazoan histone genes lack a poly-A tail. 3' end processing occurs at a site between a highly conserved stem-loop (modelled by this family) and a purine rich region around 20 nts downstream (the histone downstream element, or HDE). NCBI's taxonomy places the organism in Eukaryota, Metazoa, Chordata, Actinopteri, Perciformes, Gasterosteidae. The record is from Rfam.
ACAAAGGCUCUUUUAAGAGCCACCCACCCACACGAAAAGAGCUGU